GGGUUGGAAAGAUAACAUAUGGGGAUGGAAUUUGACUUUUAGGAGAGAUAGAUUAAUGUAGGAAAUACAUAGAAGGAACAAAAAUUUAUGCAAGUCAUAACAUGUUAGUCCUUUAAAAGAGAGAGUGAAGAUAUUGAGUUUGGAAAGAAGAUGAGGAAGGAAUAUUUACCAUAAGGUUUGCAUACAACAUACAAUAAUACAUUGUAGAUUGAGAAAAUACUAGCGUUCAAAUAUUACUAGAGUUUGAAGGCUCUCCCAACUAAACAUCAAUUCAUGUGGAAAAGUGUUGCUAGAUAAGGUACCAACAAAGGUAAAUUUAC
Molecule: long non-coding RNA, 320 nt
Filed under: Vigna radiata
Lineage: Eukaryota; Viridiplantae; Streptophyta; Magnoliopsida; Fabales; Fabaceae
Description: long non-coding RNA (VRAD_LNC000383)
Source: RNAcentral